Molecule: ribosomal RNA, 320 nt
Filed under: uncultured eukaryote
Lineage: Eukaryota
Description: partial 18S ribosomal RNA
Rfam family: Eukaryotic small subunit ribosomal RNA
Source: RNAcentral
CCCCUAGAUGUUCUGGGCCGCACGCGCGCUACACUGAACAGUUCAACAAGUCUUAACCUUGGCCGAUAGGUCUGGGUAAUCUUUGAACGCUGUUCGUGAUUGGGAUAGACCUUUGCAAUUAUGGGUCUUCAACGAGGAAUUCCUAGUAAACGCAAGUCAUCAGCUUGCAUUGAUUACGUCCCUACCCUUUGUACACACCGCCCGUCGCACCUACCGAUUGAAUGGUCCGGUGAAAUCUCGGGACGGCGGCUUGGUCGCUUGCGUCCGACUGCUGAAACUUGAUUAAACCAUAUCAUUUAGAGGAAGGUGAAGUCGUAACA